RNAcentral lists this ribosomal RNA (120 nucleotides) under Microcebus murinus (gray mouse lemur). The record is from RNAcentral. Lineage: Eukaryota; Metazoa; Chordata; Mammalia; Primates; Cheirogaleidae.
GUCAUAGAAAAUAUAUGCAGGCUGAACACACCCGAUCUUGUCUGAUCUCAGAAGCUAAGCAGGGCAGGGCCUGGUUAAUAUUUGAAUGGGAAAAUAGACAUAGUCUGAGGGUCUAAGACA